Molecule: ribosomal RNA, 326 nt
Filed under: uncultured bacterium
Lineage: Bacteria
Description: bacterial SSU rRNA
Rfam family: Bacterial small subunit ribosomal RNA
Source: RNAcentral
GACGAACGCUGGCGGCGUGCCUAACACAUGCAAGUCGAACGGAGAUACGAUUUCGGUUGUAUCUUAGUGGCGAACGGGUGAGUAACGCGUGAGCAACCUGACCUUUAGAGGGGAUAACACUUGGAAACAGGUGCUAAUACUGCAUAAGACCACGACCCGACAUCGGGAUGAGGUCAAAGGAGUAAUCCGCUAGAGGAGGGGCUCGCGUCCCAUUAGAUAGAUGGCGGGGUAACGGCCCACCAUGUCGACGAUGGGUAGCCGAGCUGAGAGGCUGAUCGGCCACACUGGAACUGAGACACGGUCCAGACUCCUACGGGAGGCAGCAG